UAAAAGUUAGUUAAUAUAAAUAACAUUAAAUUGUCAAUUUAAAAUAAUUUUAAUUAUAAAAUACUUUUAU
This 70-nucleotide transfer RNA is filed under the name Cephus pygmeus. RNAcentral describes it as "tRNA-Asp". Lineage: Eukaryota; Metazoa; Arthropoda; Insecta; Hymenoptera; Cephidae. The record is from RNAcentral.